RNAcentral lists this ribosomal RNA (505 nucleotides) under uncultured bacterium. Its description in RNAcentral is "partial 16S ribosomal RNA". It matches the Rfam family "Bacterial small subunit ribosomal RNA", at positions 28 to 507 of the family's 1533-position model. The record is from RNAcentral.
GACGAACGCUGGCGGCGUGCCUAAUACAUGCAAGUAGAACGCACAGUUUAUACCGUAGCUUGCUACACCAUAGACUGUGAGCUGCGAACGGGUGAGUAACGCGUAGGUAACCUGCCUGGUAGCGGGGGAUAACUAUUGGAAACGAUAGCUAAUACCGCAUAAUAUUAAUUAUUGCAUGAUAAUUAAUUGAAAGGUGCAAUUGCACCACUACCAGAUGGACCUGCGUUGUAUUAGCUAGUAGGUGAGGUAACGGCUCACCUAGGCGACGAUACAUAGCCGACCUGAGAGGGUGAUCGGCCACACUGGGACUGAGACACGGCCCAGACUCCUACGGGAGGCAGCAGUAGGGAAUCUUCGGCAAUGGACGAAAGUCUGACCGAGCAACGCCGCGUGAGUGAAGAAGGUUUUCGGAUCGUAAAGCUCGGUUGUAAGAGAAGAACGGGUGUGAGAGUGGAAAGUUCACACUGUGACGGUAUCUUACCAGAAAGGGACGGCUAACUACGUG